Molecule: long non-coding RNA, 1480 nt
Organism: Hippocampus zosterae (dwarf seahorse)
Lineage: Eukaryota; Metazoa; Chordata; Actinopteri; Syngnathiformes; Syngnathidae
Exons: 3
Source: RefSeq, a predicted model, not a curated record
CACACACGGUCACACUCCCACACACCAGCACACUGGGUUAAAGGACCCGGAGCUGUGGUUUUGUUACGGUCAAAGCUGGACUGAGCUAAGAGGCGAAGUGAACCAUGCGUGAGUUUGACUGGGCUUCUUGGCCCUGGUAAUUGGGACUGAUGGACCUGAAAGUGAGGGAUGAACCAGGGAAUACAGGAUGUCUGCACUGGCAUCUGAUUAGAACGAUUCAAACCAGAACCUUGUGAGCGGUGAAGAAAGCAAGAGGUGAAUAAAAGAUGACGGCGAAAGAGCGUAGAGGUGAAGCCCGUGUCUGCACGCCACUCCUGGGAGGCUAAAAUGCCUUCUCAUCAGUAAACUGUGGUGAUUGAUGUGGUGACUGUAACUUCUGGCCCAGAAUGCUUUGGACACCUGUCUUCUCACGCAAGGACCUCCAGGACGCUCCCUUUCAGUGCAGAUCCUGAUUUAUGAGACCCCAAAGGCUCCUCUUUGGUGUUUUGUCUCUCUCUCUCUCUCUAUUUUCCUCUUUUCCUUGCUCUCUUUCUCUUUGACACACUCUAUACCUCCAUCGUGAAGGGCCACAAGAGAAGCGGAGAGAAAUGACUGCUGUCAUUUUUUUUCUCUUUUAACUGGGCUGGCGCUGCUCUCUCUGUCACCGAGCCCUCGAGGGGAGAGGACAUCAAACAAAGGAAAAAGCUUCCGCACUUUAUUGUCUUUUACCGCAGAGUGCUUAGAUCUAUUCCCACUCUCACUCUCUCCCUCUCUCACCUCUACUUGAAUAAAAAAAUGUUUCAAAUUCCGACUUGUCGUCUCCCCUCUCCGGCCUCCUCAACAUCUCUUACACAUUUUCUACAUUUUGACAGUGCUCUUGGAGGGUGACAACUUGUCAAAAUACUGAGUGAGGGGAACUGAGGGAGUCUCAGUGUGAGAUAGCAGUGAGGCUCAAAGACAAAACAAAUCUCAAGUCCAAACACGGUGGUAUGUGGUUGAACUCUGGGAUGAUUGAUUUGUAUUGUGAUUAUUUGACAAAGAUGACUCACAAAUGUUAUCGGAAUGUUCGUCUUUCAGUGCGGAGUUACAGGGUUCGAAACCGGCUCUAGCCUUCCUGUGUUGCAUGUUCUCCCCGUGCAUGGGUUUUCUCUGGGUACUCUGGUUUCCUCCCACAUAUUAAAAACAUGCGUGGCAGGUUAAUGGAACAUGCUAAAUUGUCUCUUUGUGUGACUGUGGACGUGAAUGGUUGCUUGUCUAUGCGUGCCCUGCGAUUGGAUGGCAACAGGUUCAGGGUGUCCCCCGCCUACUGCCCGAAGAGAGCUGGGAUCGGCUCCAGCACGCCUGCGACUCUUGUGAAGGGAAGCGGAUCAGAAAAUGGAUGGAUGGAUCUUUGUGAAACAAAUGGGUUAUGUUAGCCUCGGUUCCCAUCACUAUCACGGCUAUGAUUAUCUCAGGAUGCAUCUGUAGUACCUCAUUGUAAUGUAACACAUCCAUCCAUCCA